CGGCGCUUGAGGCUUUCUGCCUCAUGACGUGAAGGUGGUUUGUUACCGUGUUGUGUGGCAGAAAGAAGAUAGCCCCGUAGUAAGUUAAUUUUCAUUAACCACCACGAGGCAUCCCUAUGUCUAGUCCACAUCAGGAUAGCCUCUUACCGCGCUUUGCGCAAGGAGAAGAAGGCCAUG
This is a non-coding RNA of Plasmid R100, 177 nucleotides long. The record is from Rfam.